CCUACGGGUCGCACCAGUGGGGAAUAUUGCACAAUGGGGGAAACCCUGAUGCAGCAACGCCGCGUGAGUGAUGACGGCCUUCGGGUUGUAAAGCUCUGUCUUCAGGGACGAUAAUGACGGUACCUGAGGAGGAAGCCACGGCUAACUACAUGCCAGCAGCCGCGGUAAUACGUAGGUGGCGAGCGUUGUCCGGAUUUACUGGGCGUAAAGGGAGCGUAGGCGGACUUUUAAGUGAGAUGUGAAAUACCCGGGCUCAACUUGGGUGCUGCAUUUCAAACUGGAAGUCUAGUGUGCAGGAGAGGAGAAUGGAAUU
This 313-nucleotide ribosomal RNA is filed under the name uncultured bacterium. RNAcentral's name for it is "bacterial SSU rRNA". It matches the Rfam family "Bacterial small subunit ribosomal RNA", at positions 338 to 668 of the family's 1533-position model. The record is from RNAcentral.